UGGGGAAUAUUGGACAAUGGGCGCAAGCCUGAUCCAGCAAUACCGCGUGUGUGAAGAAGGCCUGAGGGUUGUAAAGCACUUUCAGCGAGGAGGAAGGGUAUAUGGUUAAUACCCAUAUAUUUUGACGUUACUCGCAGAAGAAGCACCGGCUAACUCUGUGCCAGCAGCCGCGGUAAUACAGAGGGUGCAAGCGUUAAUCGGAAUUACUGGGCGUAAAGAGUGCGUAGGCGGAUAUUUAAGUCAUGUGUGAAAUCCCUGGGCUUAACCUAGGAAUUGCAUCUGAUACUGGGUAUCUAGAGUAUGGUAGAGGACAGUGGAAUUUCUGGUGUAGCGGUGAAAUGCGUAGAUAUCAGAAGGAACACCAGUGGCGAAGGCGACUGUCUGGGCCAAUACUGACGCUGAGGUACGAAAGCGUGGGUAGCGAACAGG
This 429-nucleotide ribosomal RNA is filed under the name uncultured bacterium. Its description in RNAcentral is "bacterial SSU rRNA". It matches the Rfam family "Bacterial small subunit ribosomal RNA", at positions 355 to 776 of the family's 1533-position model. The record is from RNAcentral.